UUGGUCUCCUCUCGACUACGUCGUGCUGAUUCUGCGUAUUGCAGGACUUUUCCUGAUUCCUCUGACUGUUGUUGUUCUUCUGCUCAAACACAGAAGAGGCAACGAAACACCACCUGAUGAAAAAAAUAUGCACAACGAUGGCGAUGAAGUUGCAUAUGAAAAUGUGGAAGCACCUUCUGCUGCUACCGGACAGCACUGAUCAACAACCUUCACAUCAACUCAAAAACAAGUAAAAUGUCAUUUUACAUGAGUGAUCAAAGCUUUGAGAUAAAAUGAGGUUUUUGGAUAUUUUUAUAUUUACAAUGUGCGCUUGUAAUGAAAAAAACCCAAUCAUUUA
Long non-coding RNA from Scomber japonicus (chub mackerel), 337 nucleotides. RefSeq lists it as uncharacterized. The transcript is spliced from 3 exons. The record is from RefSeq and is a predicted model, not a curated record. Lineage: Eukaryota; Metazoa; Chordata; Actinopteri; Scombriformes; Scombridae.